GACGAACGCUGGCGGCGUGCUUAACACAUGCAAGUCGAACGCAGAGCGAUGGAAGUUUGCUUCUAUCAAUCUUAGUGGAGAACGGGUGAGUAACGCGUAAUCAACCUGCCCUUCAGAGGGGGACAACAGUUGGAAACGACUGCUAAUACCGCAUACGAUCUAACCUCGGCAUCGAGGAUAGAUGAAAGGUGGUCUCUACAUGUAAGCUAUCACUGAAGGAGGGGAUUGCGUCUGAUUAGCUAGUUGGCGGGGUAACGGCCCACCAAGGCGAUGAUCAGUAGCCGGUCUGAGAGGAUGAACGGCCACAUUGGGACUGAGACACGGCCCAGACUCCUACGGGAGGCAGCGGUGGGGAAUCUUCCGCAAUGGACGAAAGUCUGACGGAGCAACGCCGCGUGAGUGAUGACGGCCUUCGGGUUUUAAAGCUCUGUUAAUCGGGACGAAAGGCCUUCUUGCGAAUAGUGAGAAGGAUGGACGGUACCUGAAUAGAAAGCCACGGCUAACUACGU
RNAcentral lists this ribosomal RNA (509 nucleotides) under uncultured bacterium. RNAcentral's name for it is "partial 16S ribosomal RNA". It matches the Rfam family "Bacterial small subunit ribosomal RNA", at positions 28 to 506 of the family's 1533-position model. The record is from RNAcentral.